GUCGGCGCGGGAAUACGGAGGGUGCAGUGGUUAACGGAAUUACUGGGCGUAAAGCGCACGUAGGCGGUGUGUUAAGUUGGAUGUGAAAGCCCCGGGCUCAACCUGGGAAUUGCAUUCAAAACUGGCACGCUAGAGUAUGUGAGAGGGGAAAUAGAAUUCCAAGUGUAGCGGUGAAAUGCGUAGAGAUUUGGAGGAAUACCAGUGGCGAAGGCGGCCCCCUGGCACAAUACUGACGCUCAGGUGCGAAAGCGUGGGGAGCAAACAGGAUUAGAUACCCUGGUAGUCCACGCCGUAAACGAUGUCAACUAGCUGUUGG
Molecule: ribosomal RNA, 316 nt
Filed under: uncultured Legionella sp.
Lineage: Bacteria; Pseudomonadati; Pseudomonadota; Gammaproteobacteria; Legionellales; Legionellaceae
Description: bacterial SSU rRNA
Rfam family: Bacterial small subunit ribosomal RNA
Source: RNAcentral